Molecule: Y RNA, 131 nt
Organism: Callithrix jacchus (white-tufted-ear marmoset)
Lineage: Eukaryota; Metazoa; Chordata; Mammalia; Primates; Cebidae
Rfam family: Y RNA
About the family: Y RNAs are components of the Ro ribonucleoprotein particle (Ro RNP), in association with Ro60 and La proteins. The Y RNAs and Ro60 and La proteins are well conserved, but the function of the Ro RNP is not known.
Source: Ensembl
GGCUGAUCUGAAGGUAGUCAGUUAUCUUAAUCUACUCAGUCAGUUAUCUUAAUUGACUGUUUACAGUCAGUUAAAGAUUGAAUUCCUUGCUCUACUCUUUCCCUCUUAAUAGGGCACUUGACUAGUCUUUU